GACGAACGCUGGCGGCGUGCUUAACACAUGCAAGUCGAGCGGUAAGGCCCUUUCGGGGGUACACGAGCGGCGAACGGGUGAGUAACACGUGGGUGACCUGCCUUUAGCUCUGGGAUAAGCCUGGGAAACCGGGUCUAAUACCGGAUAUGACUCCGCGGCGCAUGUUGUGGGGUGGAAAGCCUUGUGCGGCUGGAGAUGGGCCCGCGGCCUAUCAGCUUGUUGGUGGGGUGAUGGCCUACCAAGGCGACGACGGGUAGCCGGCCUGAGAGGCGACCGGCCACACUGGGACUGAGACACGGCCCAGACUCCUACGGGAGGCAGCAGUGGGGAAUCUUGCGCAAUGGGCGAAAGCCUGACGCAGCGACGCCGCGUGA
Molecule: ribosomal RNA, 374 nt
Filed under: uncultured bacterium
Lineage: Bacteria
Description: bacterial SSU rRNA
Rfam family: Bacterial small subunit ribosomal RNA
Source: RNAcentral